GCUCACAAGUAUUUUGCUUCAGGUAAAUGCAGCGGGGGACCUUUGUGCCAUUUGCCAGGAGAAGAUGCAUGCUCCGAUUCUGCUGCGCUGUAAACACAUUUUCUGUGAGGAUUGUGUCUCAGAAUGGUUUGAGAGAGAAAGAACUUGCCCUUUAUGCAGGGCACUGGUAAAACCUGCGGAUCUGCGAACAUUUGGGGACGGAUCAACAAGUUUAUUUUUUCAGUUUUUCUAAAAUUUGGAAUUCACCGAUUGGAGAGCCUAGAUAAUAUGAGCAAGCAGAGCAGCAUUCUUGAAACAGUCCCCGUUUUGUGUUUUGUUAAUAGGCAAAUGAAUGUAUUCUGAUAGAGCAUUGUAUCAUGAUUAAGGUUGCCUCCAGGUAAUGUGUUGCAAUCCUGAGGUCAUCCAUGAGCUCUCAAUGGAUGACAUAAUAGAUGACAUGAUUACUAAACUCCAUAUCUCCUCCUGCUUGACAUGUUAUCUCCUUUGUAUAGAUGCAAUGCAACCCACCUCUCUCUCU
Prunus mume (Japanese apricot) is the source of this 517-nucleotide non-coding RNA. Lineage: Eukaryota; Viridiplantae; Streptophyta; Magnoliopsida; Rosales; Rosaceae. The record is from RefSeq and is a predicted model, not a curated record.